AAGGCCUUAGGGUUGUAAAGCUCUUUCGACCGGGAAGAAGGGGGUUAGUGCUAAUAACAUUAAUCUUUGAUGGUACCGGAAUAAGAAGCACCGGCUAACUUCGUGC
RNAcentral lists this ribosomal RNA (106 nucleotides) under uncultured bacterium. RNAcentral's name for it is "partial 16S ribosomal RNA". The record is from RNAcentral.